Molecule: RNA transcript, 988 nt
Organism: Conger conger (European conger)
Lineage: Eukaryota; Metazoa; Chordata; Actinopteri; Anguilliformes; Congridae
Gene: hdip1
Gene name: chromosome 6 C16orf87 homolog
Exons: 5
Source: RefSeq, a predicted model, not a curated record
ACGUGAUUGAUUUCGGUUUGGUGUGCCUGUGCUCGUGGGGUCGAAUCAGCUGCGCUUCAUAUUUUUUUUACUGGGAGUGCAGCGGGCAGAACUUUGAGCAAUAUCGCUGGACUAAAAUAUACGUACAACACAAUAAAAAUCGAGGAGGAUGUCGGCGAAUAAAGUCAAGAAAGUGAAAAUGGCUACCAAAUCAUGUCCAGAAUGCGAUCAACAGAUUCCAGUAGCUUGCAAGUCUUGUCCUUGUGGAUAUGUGUUUAUAAGCCGAAAACUUCUAAAUGCCAAACUAACGGAGAGAUCACCGCCAACAAUAGACAAGCUAGAUGCAAAGAGGAGGAGGACCGAACGGAUCCGGCGAGAGAAAAUCAGCUCUGUUUCCACCAAUGACAUGGAGAACAGGAGGCGGUCCCGCACAAACAGCCAAUCGGAGCAGAUCCGUAGAGGAAGGGGCCGACCAAAAACAGUCACUCUGAAGAAGCAGGAAGAGGAGAAAGAAAAGCAGGAGAAGGAGGUGGACAUUUAUGCUAACCUCUCGGACGAGAAGGCGUUUGUGUUCUCCGUUGCCCUGGCUGAGAUCAACAGGAAGAUCUUGGGUCAGAGACUCAUCUUAUAACCGGGAUGUCAGGACUGGCCGCGGGAUUAAACUUUGGGACUAGGGAAACUGACGUGUCCCACCGAUGACCACAGUGGGCCUGGUGGGAAAGAAAAGAACCUUGACCUGGAAGUGCUUUUGAUGGAACCACUGUAGCUAAUUCCUGCUUCUGAUUGGCCCAGGCCCCGGCUGUGGCCAGAAUAUGCUGUGCGGCCAGACCAUGCCAGCUGCACCCUGGAUCUACAGAGAGAACCUCAGCUGUGUCAGCCGCACCAUGGAUCUACAGAGAGAACCUCAGCUGUGUCAGCCGCACCCUGGAUCUACAGAGAGAACCUCAGGUGUGUCAGCCCCACCCUGGAUCUACAGAGAGAACCUCAGCUGUGUCAGCCCCACCCUGGA